CUAACACAUUCAAGUCGAGGGGCAGCGGGGAAAAGCUUGCUUUUCCGCCGGCGACCGGCGCACGGGUGCUCACCGCGUAUGGAACCUGCCUUGUACAGGGGAAUAGCCCAGGGAAACUUGGAUUAAUGCCCCGUAGUACCGUAUUUCGGCAUCGUUAUACGGUUAAAGCCUUCGGGCGGUACAAGAUGGCCAUGCGUCCCAUUAGCUCGAUGGUAAGGUAACGGCUUACCAUGGCUACGAUGGGUAGGGGCCCUGAGAGGGGGAUCCCCCACAGUGGUACUGAGACACGGACCAGACUCCUACGGGAGGCAGCAGUGAGGAAUAUUGGACAAUGGAGGAGACUCUGAUCCAGCCAUGCCGCGUGCAGGAAGAAUGCCCUAUGGGUAGUAAACUGCUUUUAUACGGGAAGAAAAAGAGCUACGUGUAGCUUACUGACGGUAGCGUAAGAAUAAGGACCGGCUAACUCCGUGCCAGCAGCGGCGGUAAUACGGAGGGUCCGAGCGUUAUCCGGAAUUAUUGGAUUUAAAGGGUCCGUAGGCGGGCCGAUAAGUCAGGGGUGAAAGUCUGCCGCUCAACGGUAGAACUGCCUUUGAUACUGUCGGUCUUGAGUUAUAGUGAAGUUGCCGGAAUAUGUAGUGUAGCGGUGAAAUGCAUAGAUAUUACAUAGAACACCGAUUGCGAAGGCAGGUGACUAACUAUAUACUGACGCUGAUGGACGAAAGCGUGGGGAGCGAACAGGAUUAGAUACCCUGGCAGUCCACGCCGUAAACGAUGGAUACUAGCUGUCCGGAACCUUGAGUUCUGGGCGGCCAAGCGAAAGUGAUAAGUAUCCCACCUGGGGAGUACGUUCGCAAGAAUGAAACUCAAAGGAAAUGCCGGGGGCCCGCACAAGCGGUGGAGCAUGUGGUUUAAUUCGAUGAUACGCGAGGAACCUUACCAGGGCUUAAAUGCAUAUUGACAGGGUCAGAGAUGACUUUUCCUUCGGG
This 986-nucleotide ribosomal RNA is filed under the name Maribacter sp. Fs8. Its description in RNAcentral is "bacterial SSU rRNA". It matches the Rfam family "Bacterial small subunit ribosomal RNA", at positions 48 to 1024 of the family's 1533-position model. The record is from RNAcentral. Lineage: Bacteria; Pseudomonadati; Bacteroidota; Flavobacteriia; Flavobacteriales; Flavobacteriaceae.